AUGGCGGCAUCACACUAUGCCUACAAGACGUUGAAGAUGCCUGGGCCGAUGAGCAUCAUCACCGUCCCCUCCGGCAAGAAAGAUGCGCUGAUCUGCGCCGACCAACUCUACCGAGAGGCAGUUGCAACAACUGCUGCCAAGGCACUUGCUCCUGCCGCUGAAGCCCCGGGAGGGAAGAAGACCGGCAAGACCUCUCGCACCCACUCCGGCAAGCGCACCUCUCCGGAGUGCUGUGCUACCGUCGAGGACGUGCCAGAGAGCUCCACCGGCAAGAGCAAGAUAUCCAGAGCUGCACCACCAGAGACCAAGAAGGUGUCCGUCGAGGAGGAUGGUACGGGAGGAGCUUUCACCAUAAGCUCCACCCUCGACAACAAAUAG
RNAcentral lists this ribosomal RNA (378 nucleotides) under Triticum aestivum (bread wheat). RNAcentral describes it as "partial small subunit ribosomal RNA". The record is from RNAcentral. Lineage: Eukaryota; Viridiplantae; Streptophyta; Magnoliopsida; Poales; Poaceae.